UAUUUUUUCUUUCUCAAAUCGCGUAAACCAUUAACCUUUCCGAGUGCCUCUUCUUCUCUGUCGGUUAACGGACCAGUGGAAGACCCACGGACGAUUGGUUUCUUCCCCUCUCCCUCGAACUUUCCGCUGAAGAAAUCGACAAAAUCCUUUUUCCCAAGCCGUGCGAUCGUGUCUAGACGAUUUCUGUUUGUUUUGAUUGUUCUUUUUUUUUAUUUGCAUUUGAUAUUGUUUCCCUUUGCAAGAGCUUAGCUUGUGUGUGAUUGAUUCUUGGGUGUUUAAUUUGGUGUUCUUGAGGAUGAAUCAGGUGUCCAAUUGAAUCCAGAAAUUCUUUUUAUUGCAUUGAUUGAUCUGAUUUUCCCCCUUAAAAAAAUCAUGGCAUUGUAUGAUCGAAUCCUAAGUGGGUUUUCUUUGCUCUGGGGUUGGUUAUGAGUUUUAUUUGCUGAUAGUCGCUUCUUUGAUAAAAUUCUUCAUUAUUCGCACCAUUCCCCUAUGUUGACAUUUUUUUAAAAAAAUCUGAACUCUAUUGUGUUAAUUGUUGCUGGGUUGUGAAACCAGGUUUGGAGAGUAACGAAGAUAUCAUGACGGUGCCUCCCGCCUCUGGUAGGAAGCACGUAUCAAUGAUUCGUCUAUACCGCAUUAAGGCCAUGGGCGAAGGUUGUGUAAGAAAGAUGUAAGAGCCAAGCAAAUAGUGAAAACAAGAGUCAUAAAAGUUUAAAAUUUUGAAUCUGUUCAGGAAAGAAUGCAUAUUAUUUGCUAUAUAUUCUGGAUGAAAUCACUAUUGCUGAGUUUUUGUGAUCAUUAAGCACCCCGUGAUUAAUCCAGUCAAAGGAUUCUGAUUCUUUUUAUUUAUGGCCAUACAACGUUUCAAUUGCUGAAAAUGUAAGGGAGUUUUUGCAUUCUUUAGUUAUGGAUCUUAUGAUGCUUAUGAUUUAGCUAUUAGUUUAUUCAUUUCAAUUUUUUACUUUUUUUGGACUAUUUUUCAUUCUCAGUUCUCCUACUUUUGAACGUUCGACUAUGUAAUGCCAGCGGCCCUUAGUUGUACUGUUUCUUGCUUUCACUGAAUUCAUUUCUUAUGAAAAGGGGAAAAAAUGGAGAAAGAUUUUAAUGUGCUGUCAAUGUGGUCAAGAUUUGCGCCUAUAUUACUAUCAUUUAUAAUUUUAUUGAAUUAUAUUUGUUUAUAAGUUUCAAUGUUCUCUCUUCCUGUAGAUAAUUUUGAAGAAUAAUUGUCCUGACUUUAAUUCCCUAUAAGGAUGUGAAGCAUCUGCAUUCAAGAAUUGCGUUAGUGCGUCUGAUUUUCGUGAAGAUAUAUCUAUGAAAUAAAUUCAAGAGGUUAUAUGGAAUAAAAAGUUGUAAGAGCUAAUGAUCUCUCUGUACUAAAAUAUUUGGGACCGCCAACCCAUAUCCAUUUCCCUGAAAUUAUUCAAUUGUCCACAAACAUUCCACACUAGAACCUGCUCAUUUUCUUUUAGGAUUCUAAUCCUGCUCAUAUAUUGCUCACAUGGCUAUAUGGAUUCUACUUAUCUAAUGACAGGUAUAACACCGUUGGAUGGAGCCUUUCUUGCUGAUGCUUACUUGGGAAGAUUUUGGACAACAUCCGGUUUUGUAGUCUUCUAUAUCUUGUAGUAAACAACCUUCUUCUUUUUUGUGGUUUACUGCUCCGAGGGAGUGUGCCUGGAGGAUGCUAUAACCAUUAGCCAGUCGGAGGUCACAAAUAGGGCCAAAGUCAUGCGCAUUGCCACUCAAGGUUGCAUCAAGGGGGUGGAAGAGGUUCUGGCUGCAUAUCAAUCCUCCUCCUGAUCGGGUUCGCAGCUACUUUUCCAGACAGGGCCUUUGACAACCAGAUAAAUGUUUCUACCAAAAUCACCACAGAACACAUUACCAGAAGCCCAAACCUCAAGGAUUUCCCCAUCCUCAUUUAUGUUAUCUUCAGGAUGCCAAAUGGGUUGAGAGAAUUCGAUCUCUAUACUCAGAUGGAAGUAUUUGAUCCAGCGUUAUCUUCUAUAGAUAGAAAAAUCCAAAUUUUCUAUCAUAUUACAUUUUUUUAAUGAUUUUGUAAGAUAUGAUAAAAUGUGUAGACAGUAUGUGUGGUGCAAUCACUAUUAUGUUAUAUUUACCAUUCUAGAAUACUAGGUUAUUACUUUAUCUCACUAUAGUAUUCUUUCA
Molecule: RNA transcript, 2163 nt
Organism: Tripterygium wilfordii
Lineage: Eukaryota; Viridiplantae; Streptophyta; Magnoliopsida; Celastrales; Celastraceae
Gene name: protein NRT1/ PTR FAMILY 5.1-like
Exons: 3
Source: RefSeq, a predicted model, not a curated record